UCUAAGUAACCACGAUAAGGAAAUAAAUUAGAAACCAUUAUUAAUCCUCUUACAAAACAUAAUCAUCAAAUAGUCCAAAUAAAGAAAGAAAAGCUAGAAAUAAUGGAAGUGUUAGGUUGAACACAAGCUAAAACUAAAGAGUCUAGUUUUGGACAAGGCUAAACAGAAAAUAUGGACAACUUCACAUCAAAUGCAACUCAGGCAAAUAAUCAAAAAUAUUGUGGGAGUAAACAAAGCCAAUUCAAUGUUCCCAUUUCUUCAGCUC
This is a non-coding RNA of Salvia hispanica, 265 nucleotides long. Lineage: Eukaryota; Viridiplantae; Streptophyta; Magnoliopsida; Lamiales; Lamiaceae. The record is from RefSeq and is a predicted model, not a curated record.